AUUUACCAUGGGGGUUCAAUUUUCCAUACAGGGGGGGUUCAAUUUACCAUAGCGGUAUUUUGACCCCGGGGUCAAUUUACCAUGGGGUUCAAAAUACCAUAUGACAGCAGGUAAAAACCCCAAUUUGUGAAUUCUUAUCUGGAGCUCUGCAAUAACUUUAGUUUAAGUGAUUGGAUAUCUAUGAAAUUUAAACACAAGGUUUAAAACCACAACAAGAAGUUUGGCAUUGAUUUUGGGGGGUUAUGGUCCCGACAGUUUAGGAACAAGGGGCCCAAAAGGGGUCAUAAUAAGUAUUUUUCUAGUCUCCAGACAAUAACUGGAAGUGUAAGUGUAUGGAUCUUUCUGAACUUGUACCACAAGGUUCCAUAUCACAAAGGGAAGGC
Molecule: long non-coding RNA, 383 nt
Filed under: Mytilus galloprovincialis (Mediterranean mussel)
Lineage: Eukaryota; Metazoa; Mollusca; Bivalvia; Mytilida; Mytilidae
Source: RNAcentral